This 461-nucleotide ribosomal RNA is filed under the name uncultured bacterium. Its description in RNAcentral is "bacterial SSU rRNA". It matches the Rfam family "Bacterial small subunit ribosomal RNA", at positions 15 to 507 of the family's 1533-position model. The record is from RNAcentral.
GAUCCUGGCUCAGGAUGAACGCUGGCGGCGUGCCUAAUACAUGCAAGUCGAGCGGCAGCACGGUCUUCGGACUGGUGGCGAGCGGCGGACGGCUGAGUAACGCGUAGGAAUAUACCCCAAAGUGAGGGAUAACUGCCCGAAAGGGUGGCUAAUACCGCAUGUGGUCUUCGGACUAAAGCCUUCGGGCGCUUUGGGAAUAGCCUGCGUAAGAUUAGCUAGUUGGUGAGGUAAAUGGCUCACCAAGGCGACGAUCUUUAGCUGGUCUGAGAGGAUGACCAGCCAGACUGGAACUGAGACACGGUCCAGACUCCUACGGGAGGCAGCAGUAGGGAAUUUUCCACAAUGGGCGAAGGCCUGAUGGAGCAACGCCGCGUGCAGGAUAAAGGCCCUCGGGUCGUAAACUGCUUUUAUGUGCGAAGAAUAUGACGGUAACACAUGAAUAAGGGUCGGCUAACUACGUG